GAGGAUUAUACUGUCUCCCCCCCUAAAUCAAUGAAACUGAUCCCCCCGUGAAGAAGCGGGGAUAAAUAUAUAAGACGAGAAGACCCUAUGGAGCUUUAAACUCAACACCACUUACCUCAACUGACCCCCUUACAAACAGGUAAAGAUCGUGUAUGUUUUCAGUUGGGGUGACUGCGGAGCAAAAUAAAACCUCCACGAUGAAAAAUAACCUCUAAUCCAAGAACAACAUUUCAAAGAAUCAACAAAUUGACAUCAAUUGACCCAAAUAAUAAUUUGAUCAACGAACCAAGUUACCCUAGGGAUAACAGCGCAAUCCAUUUCAAGAGCUCAUAUCGACAAAUG
Molecule: ribosomal RNA, 342 nt
Filed under: Chiasmocleis crucis
Lineage: Eukaryota; Metazoa; Chordata; Amphibia; Anura; Microhylidae
Description: partial 16S ribosomal RNA
Rfam family: Bacterial large subunit ribosomal RNA
Source: RNAcentral